This 447-nucleotide ribosomal RNA is filed under the name uncultured bacterium. RNAcentral's name for it is "partial 16S ribosomal RNA". It matches the Rfam family "Bacterial small subunit ribosomal RNA", at positions 29 to 523 of the family's 1533-position model. The record is from RNAcentral.
AGCGAACGCUGGCGGCAGGCUUAACACAUGCAAGUCGAACGGUCCUUCGGGAUAGUAGCGGACGGGUGAGUAACACGUGGGAACGUACCCUUAGGUUCGGAACAACACAGGGAAACUUGUGCUAAUACCGGAUAAGCCCUUCGGGGGAAAGAUUUAUCGCCUUUGGAGCGGCCCGCGUCUGAUUAGCUUGUUGGUGAGGUAAUGGCGCAACAAGGCUACGAUCAGUAGCUGGUCUGCGAGGAUGGCCAGCCACACUGGGACUGAGACACGGCCCAGACUCCUACGGGAGGCAGCAGUGGGGAAUCUUGCGCAAUGGGCGAAAGCCUGACGCAGCCAUGCCGCGUGGAUGAUGAAGGUCUUAGGAUUGUAAAAUCCUUUCACCGGGGACGAUAAUGACGGUACCCGGAGAAGAAGCCCCGGCUAACUUCGUGCCAGCCGCCGCCGUAA